UACGUAGGUGGCAAGCGUUGUCCGGAAUUAUUGGGCGUAAAGCGCGCGCAGGCGGUUCCUUAAGUCUGAUGUGAAAGCCCCCGGCUCAACCGGGGAGGGUCAUUGGAAACUGGGGAACUUGAGUACUGAAGAGGAAAGCGGAAUUCCACGUGUAGCGGUGAAAUGCGUAGAGAUGUGGAGGAACACCAGUGGCGAAGGCGGCUUUCCGGUCAGUAACUGACGCUGAGGCGCGAAAGCGUGGGGAGCAAACAGG
This 253-nucleotide ribosomal RNA is filed under the name uncultured bacterium. RNAcentral describes it as "partial 16S ribosomal RNA". It matches the Rfam family "Bacterial small subunit ribosomal RNA", at positions 524 to 776 of the family's 1533-position model. The record is from RNAcentral.